This 469-nucleotide ribosomal RNA is filed under the name uncultured bacterium. RNAcentral describes it as "partial 16S ribosomal RNA". It matches the Rfam family "Bacterial small subunit ribosomal RNA", at positions 29 to 523 of the family's 1533-position model. The record is from RNAcentral.
AACAAACGCUGGCGGCGUGCCUAAUACAUGCAAGUCGAACGAGGUAGCAAUACCUAGUGGCGCACGGGUGAGUAACGCGUGGAUAAUCUGCCUUUGAGUGGGGGAUAACUAGUCGAAAGAUUAGCUAAUACCGCAUAAGACCACAGGAACUGAGGUUCUAGGGGUUAAAGGUUUUUCGCUCAUAGAUAAGUCCGCGUGAGAUUAGCUAGUUGGUGAGGUAACGGCUCACCAAGGCGACGAUCUCUAACUGGUCUGAGAGGAUGAUCAGUCACACUGGAACUGAGACACGGUCCAGACUCCUACGGGAGGCAGCAGUAGGGAAUAUUGCACAAUGGAGGAAACUCUGAUGCAGCGACGCCGCGUGAGUGAUGAAGGCUUUCGGGUCGUAAAGCUCUGUCGCAGGGGAAUAACACGAUGAAUGUACCCUGUAAGAAAGGAUCGGCUAACUUCGUGCCAGCCGCCGCGGUAA